RNAcentral lists this ribosomal RNA (253 nucleotides) under uncultured bacterium. Its description in RNAcentral is "partial 16S ribosomal RNA". It matches the Rfam family "Bacterial small subunit ribosomal RNA", at positions 524 to 776 of the family's 1533-position model. The record is from RNAcentral.
UACGUAGGUGGCAAGCGUUGUCCGGAUUUAUUGGGUUUAAAGGGUGCGUAGGCGGUCUAUUAAGUCAGUGGUGAAAUACUCCAGCUUAACUGGAGGGGUGCCAUUGAUACUGAUGGACUUGAGUGAAGUCGAGGUAGGCGGAAUUGACGGUGUAGCGGUGAAAUGCUUAGAUAUCGUUAAGAACACCAAUAGUGAAGACAGCUUACUAGGCUUAUACUGACGCUGAGGCACGAAAGUGUGGGGAUCAAACAGG